CUUAUCAAGAGUGGUGGAGGGAAUGGGCCCGUUGAAACCCGGCAACCUGUAAUAAUACAAAGGUGCUAAAUCCCACAGAAUAUUGAUUCUGAAAGAUGAGG
RNAcentral lists this non-coding RNA (101 nucleotides) under human gut metagenome. RNAcentral's name for it is "SAM riboswitch (S box leader)". It matches the Rfam family "SAM riboswitch aptamer (S box leader)". Rfam says of the family: The SAM riboswitch is found upstream of a number of genes which code for proteins involved in methionine or cysteine biosynthesis in Gram-positive bacteria. The SAM riboswitch acts at the level of transcription termination control. The record is from RNAcentral.